GGUUCGAUUAUGGCUCAGGAUGAACGCUGCCGGCGUGCUUAACACAUGCAAGUCGAACGAACCUUCGGGUUAGUGGCGGACGGGUGAGUAACGCGUGAGAAUCUGCCCUCAGGAGGGGGAUAACAGCUGGAAACGGCUGCUAAUACCCCAUAUGCCGCGAGGUGAAAUGAAUUUCGCCUGAGGAUGAGCUCGCGUCUGAUUAGCUAGUUGGUGUGGGUAAUGGCUCACCAAGGCAUCGAUCAGUAGCUGGUCUGAGAGGAUGAUCAGCCACACUGGGACUGAGACACGGCCCAGACUCCUACGGGAGGCAGCAGUGGGGAAUUUUCCGCAAUGGGCGAAAGCCUGACGGAGCAACGCCGCGUGAGGGAUGAAGGCCUCUGGGCUGUAAACCUCUUUUAUCAAGGAAGAAGAUCUGACGGUACUUGAUGAAUAAGCCACGGCUAAUUCCGUGC
Molecule: ribosomal RNA, 452 nt
Filed under: uncultured bacterium
Lineage: Bacteria
Description: bacterial SSU rRNA
Rfam family: Bacterial small subunit ribosomal RNA
Source: RNAcentral